RNAcentral lists this ribosomal RNA (253 nucleotides) under uncultured bacterium. RNAcentral describes it as "partial 16S ribosomal RNA". It matches the Rfam family "Bacterial small subunit ribosomal RNA", at positions 524 to 776 of the family's 1533-position model. The record is from RNAcentral.
UACGGGGGGGGCAAGCGUUGUUCGGAAUUACUGGGCGUAAAGGGCGCGUAGGCGGGGGGACCAGUCUCUCGUGAAAGCCCACGGCUCAACCGUGGAAUUGCGGGAGAUACUGUCUGUCUUGAGUCCGGGAGAGGAGGGUGGAAUUCCCAGUGUAGCGGUGAAAUGCGUAGAUAUUGGGAGGAACGCCGGUGGCGAAGGCGGCUCUCUGGACCGGUACUGACGCUGAGGCGCGAAAGCUAGGGGAGCAAACGGG